RNAcentral lists this ribosomal RNA (1021 nucleotides) under Salmonella enterica subsp. enterica serovar Bredeney. RNAcentral describes it as "partial 23S ribosomal RNA". It matches the Rfam family "Bacterial large subunit ribosomal RNA", at positions 711 to 1729 of the family's 2925-position model. Lineage: Bacteria; Pseudomonadati; Pseudomonadota; Gammaproteobacteria; Enterobacterales; Enterobacteriaceae. The record is from RNAcentral.
AGACCCGAAACCCGGUGAUCUAGCCAUGGGCAGGUUGAAGGUUGGGUAACACUAACUGGAGGACCGAACCGACUAAUGUUGAAAAAUUAGCGGAUGACCUGUGGCUGGGGGUGAAAGGCCAAUCAAACCGGGAGAUAGCUGGUUCUCCCCGAAAGCUAUUUAGGUAGCGCCUCGUGAAUUCAUCUCCGGGGGUAGAGCACUGUUUCGGCUAGGGGGCCAUCCCGGCUUACCAACCCGAUGCAAACUGCGAAUACCGGAGAAUGUUAUCACGGGAGACACACGGCGGGUGCUAACGUCCGUCGUGAAGAGGGAAACAACCCAGACCGCCAGCUAAGGUCCCAAAGUCAUGGUUAAGUGGGAAACGAUGUGGGAAGGCCCAGACAGCCAGGAUGUUGGCUUAGAAGCAGCCAUCAUUUAAAGAAAGCGUAAUAGCUCACUGGUCGAGUCGGCCUGCGCGGAAGAUGUAACGGGGCUAAACCAUGCACCGAAGCUGCGGCAGCGACGCUGAUGCGUUGUUGGGUAGGGGAGCGUUCUGUAAGCCUGCGAAGGUGGCCUGUGAGGGUUGCUGGAGGUAUCAGAAGUGCGAAUGCUGACAUAAGUAACGAUAAAGCGGGUGAAAAGCCCGCUCGCCGGAAGACCAAGGGUUCCUGUCCAACGUUAAUCGGGGCAGGGUGAGUCGACCCCUAAGGCGAGGCCGAAAGGCGUAGUCGAUGGGAAACGGGUUAAUAUUCCCGUACUUGGUGUUACUGCGAAGGGGGGACGGAGAAGGCUAUGUUGGCCGGGCGACGGUUGUCCCGGUUUAAGCGUGUAGGUGUGUGUUCCAGGUAAAUCCGGUUCACUUUAACACUGAGGCGUGAUGACGAGGCACUACGGUGCUGAAGCAACAAAUGCCCUGCUUCCAGGAAAAGCCUCUAAGCAUCAGGUAACAUCAAAUCGUACCCCAAACCGACACAGGUGGUCAGGUAGAGAAUACCAAGGCGCUUGAGAGAACUCGGGUGAAGGAACUAGGCAAAAUGGUGCC